ACCAAAACACCCCGGUUUCUCUAAUUUGUAGGAAUGAAAAUCUUGAAUUGCUUUUGAUGGAUUUCUCACUCAUCAAAAUAUAGCCACCAGCCUACACAUAGAGGUCGAUUAAUCACUUUGGUCAGCAGUUCUGUUUUUCUAUGUUGCGGAAUAGGAAUGUCGUAUGAUCAUUUAUUUCCUCUAUGUCAUUUUAAGUUCUACACCUUAUCUUUUAUUAUGAUAAAUCAUCAAUAUCAUACGUCUGUUACUCUUCCUGAUUCUACAUAUUGUUUUUAGUCAUAGAUUUUAGAGUGUUCUUUUUUCAUUUUCUUGCAAAAGCAGAGGUGUUUAAAAAACUAUAGUUAUUUUACUGCUUUUCGGAUGCUAUCAAAUGCUUAUACUAAAUUUCACAGAUAUGUUCAUGUCUUCCUAUAUUUAUACAAUGUAUGCUGUGUAGCUCAAUGCUCCCUACCUUUGGGAUUAAUCUCUCUUGCAUUCCUUUACUAAUACUAUUAUCUUGUGCUUCUAAAUACUACAAUCUGAUCAAAGCCUUACACCUCUGCAAAAUGGUGAGGUCUUCAUGGCACUAAAAUCUGGUAGUUACCUCCGUUUUCUGCCGUCAACUGUUAAUGAAAGUAGUACGAUGCCUAAUUUUGCCUUCUUUCAAUUUUUCUUCUUAAGGUAACUCUAAACUUAGGUUGAUGCCUUCGGUAACUUUAAUUUUGUGUCCUGAUGCCAUGGCCUAAUUUUUUCUAUUGUACUUGAGCACCCCGUAGCUAAUAUAAUGUGAAUAGUAGUUUAGUUUGCUACUUAUACAACAAUAGAUCCAUUUUUCUAGCUGCCAGAUAGUAUUCUUCCUAUCCCAAAGUGAAAGCAUGGUUUCUCGUGUUAAAACCCCAAGAUAUUGUAUAGUAUCUGAUGACCAUCAUCACAAUAUUAACAAAUGAUCAGUAAUUGUUUUUUUUUUGAGAAAAAGCCCUGCGCUUAUAGAUUAUCAGGGUUUAGGUUACAGUCAUUUGAAGCGAGCUGUCUCAGCACAUAAGGAACAUUAGCGAUCAGUAGACUGUCUCCAUGAGCUCUUGCAUAGGCAGCCAGUUUGUGAGCCAAAACAUUGCUUUCUCGAUUGAUUGCCGAGACUGACACCGAUGCAAAGGAAUCCAUCAUAUCUUUCACAUCCGAAAUGAGUGGGAACAAGGCCGACUUGUUCUAUGGUUCAGAUUGGAGCAGGUUUGAGACCGCAACGCAGUCUGUCUCAAUGCAGAUGGCGCCUCUGUAUACUUUCUGCAGUUCCAACAACCCCACUUGCAUGGUCGUUAACUCUGCCUCAUCAACAUUCUUGCAUGGGAGUACUCGCCUACAAAUUGACAGUGCCACAGCCCCGGUCUAACCUCUGACCACAGCACCCAUGCUGCUAUGCCUUGUUUCAGCACUAAAAGAAGCAUCUGCAUUCACUUUCCAUACGCCAGUCCCGGGUGGCUUCCACUGGUUGGUUUUAAUGUGUUGCAACUCAUGCAAAGGAUCAGCUAUAGCCGACCAGAUACUCUUCCCUCUUUCAUCAUUUUUCUCCCAAUGCCUUCCCUUAAAAUCCUUCCAGUAAAUCUGUAGAAAGGCGACAGAUACAGAAAUCAAAGCCUUUCCUUUUUCAUGGACACAGUCGUUUUCUAAGGAACCAUGCUCGCCACAACAGCAAAAGCACUUUACCCCUAGCUUCUUCAUUGCAAGUAGAGAGAAGGAUCUCUUUUUUGACUGCCCGUUGGCACGAGGGUUGUUGCGCUCUGUUCAAAUUGCCUUUAACAUUACUCCUCCGACUUUGGUCAACACGUUAUUCGGGGUGUGGCUUGCUGGGAUAGAGUCCGAAACAGCUAGACACAUUCGUGUAGGAGUAUGUGCGUUGUUAUGGGCAAUUUGGAAUUGCAGAAAUGAUCUGGCUUUUAACAGAAAAACAACUAUUCAUUUUUUGCAGGUCGUAUUCCGAGCUACUGCACUGAUCCGUAUGUGGUCCUUACUCACUCCGACGGAGGCCAGGGAGCGUUUGGUUACUGGAUCUGUCCGGUGGGAGAUGGUAGCGCGGGAUAUCUUCCACCGGUUUGGAUGGCGGUCAUGUAAUAGGAUAGGCAAUUAGUUUACCUAUCUUUUAUUUUGUCUGCCGGUUGUGGCUUAUUGGGCUUAUUGUGUUGGCUUUGAGGCUCUGUAUGAGCUAGCCUUUGCUUUUGUUUGCAGACUUUGAGACCUUGUUGAACCUUUUAUUAUUUAAUAAAUGUGGCCGUAUGCAUCGUUCUAAUGCAGAGGUCGGGGAGUCCCCCCUUUUCGAAAAAAAAGUAGAGAGAAGGAUUUGUAGCCAAUCUUCACCGGAACUAUGAAAGGACUUCUCAUCUGGUAGCGAUCCAAAUUUUCCUAAUCUCUGCUCUUUAGGCUCUCGCUUUAGUGCAUUCAAUCACAACAUGAAAAUCAUUUUCCUCUGUACAUCCACAAAUGCAGCAGCUUACAUCCUUCUCAAGAGUCAUUUUGAAUUUAUUUAGCUUUGUGGGUAGAGAACAAGUCGCUACUCUCCAGCCGAACAUUUUGAUUCUCUUCGGUAUUUUCACCUUCCAGAUCAUGUCCCAAAUACUCCAUAUGUUUCAGAUUCUUAGAAGGAUGUAAUACUGGUCAGUAAUUGUAACUGCAAACCUCAGUCUCUUAGUUCUGUUUAAUACCGGACCAUAUGUUUCUCUUAAUCACUCUCAUGAUACUUGUGUUUAAUCUGAUCUCUGCCUAUUUCAUGGACCAAGGGAACUUUUUGUUCAUCUUUGUUUGUAGGAUCUAUGGAAGGAGUUCACGACUCGGACUCGACGAGAAAGGUUUGUGCUUCAUCUUUUUUUUAUGGCAAAAUAACUUCUCUUUUUUAAACCAUUAGUACGUCAUAUAUCUAUCACAUUAUAAUAGAGUAAGUCAACAAUAGCCCUUUUAUUUGAAUGAACAAGAAU
RNAcentral lists this long non-coding RNA (2942 nucleotides) under Triticum aestivum (bread wheat). RNAcentral describes it as "long non-coding RNA (TAES_LNC006692)". The record is from RNAcentral. Lineage: Eukaryota; Viridiplantae; Streptophyta; Magnoliopsida; Poales; Poaceae.